AACGCAUAUUGCGCCCUUUAGUAUUCUGAAGGGCAUGCCUGUCCGAGCGUCAUUAUCAACCAUCAAGCUUGGCUUGCUGUUGGACCAUGUGUAUGCCCGGUGGUUGGUAAUAGCAGGUCUUCAAGGUAGUGGCGGUGUCGUGGUGGACCCCGGAUACAACGAGCUUUCUACAGCACGUAUCAAGGUGGCCCCCGGACCAGCCUCACCGGAAUUUCAAAUCUCAAGGUUGACCUCGGAUCAGGUAGGAGUACCCGCUGAACUUAA
This 264-nucleotide unclassified non-coding RNA is filed under the name uncultured fungus. RNAcentral describes it as "sequence contains ITS2". The record is from RNAcentral. Lineage: Eukaryota; Fungi.